UACGGUGGGGGCAAGCGUUGUUCGGAAUUACUGGGCGUAAAGGGUUCGUAGGUGGCUUGUUAAGUCAGACGUGAAAUCCCUCGGCUCAACCGGGGAACUGCGUCUGAGACUGAUGAGCUCGAGUGCAGGAGAGGAACGCGGAAUUCCAGGUGUAGCGGUGAAAUGCGUAGAUAUCUGGAGGAACACCGGUGGCGACGGCGGCGUUCUGGACUGCAACUGACACUGAGGAACGAAAGCCAGGGGAGCAAACGGG
Molecule: ribosomal RNA, 253 nt
Filed under: uncultured bacterium
Lineage: Bacteria
Description: partial 16S ribosomal RNA
Rfam family: Bacterial small subunit ribosomal RNA
Source: RNAcentral